Molecule: ribosomal RNA, 647 nt
Filed under: Monodonta canalifera
Lineage: Eukaryota; Metazoa; Mollusca; Gastropoda; Trochida; Trochidae
Description: partial 12S ribosomal RNA
Rfam family: Bacterial small subunit ribosomal RNA
Source: RNAcentral
AGGGGGUUAAGAAAAUUAUUGAGAAAGAGCUGAAGGUUUGAUUUGUUUUAGAGAGGUGGAAUUUGAAUAAAAUAAGUUGUUUUUGCACUUUCAUCUUUCUGAGGCCCCGAGAGAGUGGUGGGAGACCGGGAUUAGAUACCCCGUUAUUCAUUCUGUAAACUUUGAUUCUUGAGAGUGUUUACUUGGGUAUUACGAGCUGCUGUGUAGCUGUUGUUAGUUCUAUAGAGCAGGAUGCUUAAAACCCAAAAAACUUGGCGGUGCCUUAAUUCUUUCCAGGGGAACCUGUCCUGUAAUUGAUGGUCCACGAUUUAGCUUACUUUUAAUUGCAUGUGUUUAGGGUUACUUAGAAACACAGCUUGUAUACCGUCGUCGUCAGAUUACCUUUAAGAGGUGGGUAGUUGUCGGUAAAAGUGGUUGUUCAACUACUAAAUUUGGAAAUAGUGGUAGCUUUUUAAGGUUUAGUAAGGGGAGAAUGCUUUUGAUGUCAGAUCAAGGUGCAGCUAAUGUAAAAGUAGAGAUGGGUUACAAUAAUUAUUUGUUGACGGAUAUCGAAUUGUAAAUUUUGAUUAAAGGCGGACUUGGGAGUAAUUUGUAGAAAAUAUUGUAUAAGUAGAGAGUUCAUGUGAAAUAUUAGUGCUAAGGUGCGU